This 1632-nucleotide long non-coding RNA is filed under the name Homo sapiens (human). RNAcentral describes it as "HSALNT0183266". The record is from RNAcentral. Lineage: Eukaryota; Metazoa; Chordata; Mammalia; Primates; Hominidae.
CACCAGGACCCCUUUAGGAUGGGUGUUCAAGGCCCUCCAGGAGCACCUCUUGCUAAACCUCUGCUGCCUCAUGCCUAAAUACCUCUCUGCCUCCCUCACAGGCAAAAGAGAUCCAGACGAUAGAGUAACAUCAAAGGUUCUGUGAACUGCAGGUGAACAGACGAUCAUCUUCACCUACGGGGCUCAUCGCCGUUUCAUUCCUGUGCUUCUCGGGAGGAAAGUUACCGCGGAGCAGCCCCUCAGCAGAGGAAUCCGUGGUGGAAACCCAAGCGUCCUGGCUGCAGUCUCCUGGGAACUGGAGUGUGAAUGCUUUCCUUCUGACGGCAGACAGCUGAGAACCUGCAGGGUUAAAAGUGCACAGUCCGGGAAGGUUCUGUUCCCAGGACAGCGCUAUCGAGUCCACUGGGCGCUCCACGCGGUCUACCUAAAGGGAACAGCCUGCGGCGUCGGCACCCUAUUCAUCUCUAAGGGUCCAGCGGCGGGAUGCUCCAGGUCCAGUCUGAGGAGUAAAUGCUGGGCGUGUAACCUCAUCAGUGUUGGGAACCUGGUGAGGCUACACAGCACAGAGGGGCCGGACUGCAUCAGGGAAAGAGGAGUUGGGCUGUCUUCUCAUUGUCACACACAAUCCCACCAUGGAGGACUCAGGCUGUCUCAUGGCUACAGAGGUAGUGAAGCAGUUGCCAGGCGCCACAGCAGGAACGGAAUUUCUCCGUGAAGACAGUGGUAAGGCGGAAGGACUGAGAGUGCAUCCCGCUGGGGUACUGGAAGGUGUAGGAUUCCAUCAGGGCAAACGCUAUCAUUUGUGCUUUAAGACUAGGAUUUGUGGAACAGGGAGAAUGCAUCCCCUGCCCUCCCUGUUGCUUAGCAACAGUCCUCUUUCUCAUUCCCAGCAGGUCCAAAAGGGCCCAGUUUUGAAGAUUGGGGGCAAGGAGUGGGGGAUGAAGCUGUCUGCUGGAUCACAAGAGUCAAAGACACGCCUUCAGCCCACACAGGUGGGGAGGCUCAGAAUGCCUGCCCCCUAGGGCCUCCACGCUGGACAUUGGGUCAGGGAAGCCCCCUUUCCUGAGUUGUUCUGUGGGACUCCAAAGGGCCUCCUGCCAAGCUCUCUGACAGUUCACAUCCCAUCUGAAGAGCCUCAUGCACCAGUCCAGGGCCUCUGAGAAGCAGAUGCCAAGAGGGGAUUAAAAAUGCCAAGAUUUUGUUGGAGGAGAUGCCCAGAGAGUUAUGGAGGCUGGAAGUCCAAGACCAAGGCACAGGCAGGUUUGAUGUCUGCUGAGGCCUUGACCACUGCAUCACAUGGUGGAAGGCAGACGGGCAGAAAGAGGACAAACACUGUGUCCUCACAGCAGAAGAGAAUGAACCUCCUCCCUCGAGCCCUUUGAUAAGGGCCCUAACCCCAUCUGGAAGGGCUCUACCUGAUGACUUAAUCACCUCCUAAAGGCCCUGCCUCUUAAAACUAUCUCAUGGGGAUUAUGUUUCAAUAUAUAAAUUUUGUGAGACACAUUCAGACCAUAGCAACCUACUAUGUUCUUUUUCCUUAUCUGUAAUGACUGGUUAUGCUUAUAAAUGUUUGAAAGCAAAAGUGCCUUUUCCGUGAAAUUUUGCAUCUGUUUCCAUUUUAUCCCUUCUCUG